This is a long non-coding RNA of Myotis myotis, 778 nucleotides long. RefSeq lists it as uncharacterized. NCBI's taxonomy places the organism in Eukaryota, Metazoa, Chordata, Mammalia, Chiroptera, Vespertilionidae. The record is from RefSeq and is a predicted model, not a curated record. The transcript has 3 exons.
CUCUUAGACACAAGAAGGGUGUUUACAGUUACGCCCGGGGGCGCCCGGCGACGCCCCGAGAAGGCGUUUAGGUUUAUUGCAACGUGGCAGCCGGGCCGUCAGAGCCGGAGGCGGGAGCGGCUGACGGCCCCCCUGUGUCCCACAAUGCCUUGCGGGCCGUUCGUCCUCUCAGUACGCAGUCGCUCCGGCCUUCUCUAGCCCAUCACGUGAUGCGAGUCUCACCGGCAGGGGGAAGUUGAGCGUCCGAGGCGGAUUUUAUUGUUAUUCUCCCGCUCCCCCGCCCCCGUCUUUUCCAGUUUGGGAAACCGCGGUCUAGAGCUGUCAAGCGACCUGUCCAGCCUGCUAAUGUAGUUCUCAAACUUUACUGUCCGUCGAGGAUGUCGGGAGCCCUCAUUUGAAAAAUGCAGACUCAAGUAUGUGGAGCCCACGAACGGGCAUGUUAAAUCAGCAGCUGUGAUGCUCAAGUGGCCACUCAGGAAGCACCUUCCUACGGGCUUCUCUCACGGAGAAUUUGGGCUUCCUUACAACAUGGCGACCUCAGGACAGCCAGACUACAGCGCUUCCACGGGAGCUGAAGACUUCCAGGGCAAGUAUUCUGGCUAAGAAGCUGGAAGCUGCACGGCGUUCUGCGAUCUGGCCUCAGAAGAAAUUAUUGGUGUGAUCUUUUGAUGAUGAGGCUCUUACAAGCUAAAUGACGGCCCUGUCUGGACCACGAUUUGACACAGGGAACCACACCAGAUGCUCCUGGCCCUUCUCUGCUGCAGCACGAGUCAUUCCG